UGAGUAACGCGUGGGUAACCUGCCCUUAAGUCUGGGAUACCAUUUGGAAACAGAUGCUAAUACCGGAUAAAAGCUACUUUCGCAUGAAAGAAGUUUAAAAGGCGGCGUAAGCUGUCGCUAAAGGAUGGACCUGCGAUGCAUUAGCUAGUCGGUAAGGUAACGGCUUACCAAGGCGAUGAUGCAUAGCCGAGUUGAGAGACUGAUCGGCCACAUUGGGACUGAGACACGGCCCAAACUCCUACGGGAGGCAGCAGCG
Molecule: ribosomal RNA, 256 nt
Filed under: uncultured Lactobacillus sp.
Lineage: Bacteria; Bacillati; Bacillota; Bacilli; Lactobacillales; Lactobacillaceae
Description: partial 16S ribosomal RNA
Rfam family: Bacterial small subunit ribosomal RNA
Source: RNAcentral